AGCCUAGGGAAAAUUAUCCUAGGUGAAACCUGCCCGGUGACUAGAUUUUAACGGCCGCGGUACUUUGACCGUGCUAAGGUAGCGUAAUCAGUUGACUUUUAAAUGAAGUCUUGUAUGAAUGGAUUUAUGGGAUUAAGCUGUCUCUUUUGUAUUCUAUUGAAAUUACUAAUUAGGUGAAAAGGCCUAUAAAUGAAAAAAGACGAGAAGACCCUUAGAGUUUUAAUAAUAGGUUUUUGUUGGGGCGACAAGAAGACAUAUAUAACUCUUCUAUUAGAAAGAUACUUGCCGGUUCUUUUAAGUGUGGAUAAACUACCUUAGGGAUAACAGCAU
This 330-nucleotide ribosomal RNA is filed under the name Aplysia fasciata. RNAcentral's name for it is "partial 16S ribosomal RNA". It matches the Rfam family "Archaeal large subunit ribosomal RNA", at positions 1920 to 2552 of the family's 2987-position model. Lineage: Eukaryota; Metazoa; Mollusca; Gastropoda; Aplysiida; Aplysiidae. The record is from RNAcentral.